GAUGAACGCUGGCGGCGUGCUUAACACAUGCAAGUCGAACGAUGAGGCCCAGCUUGCUGGGUGGAUUAGUGGCGAACGGGUGAGUAACACGUGAGUAACCUGCCCUUAACUCUGGGAUAAGCCUGGGAAACUGGGUCUAAUACCGGAUAGGAGCGUCCACCGCAUGGUGGGUGUUGGAAAGAUUUAUCGGUUUUGGCUGGACUCGCGGCCUAUCAGCUUGUUGGUGAGGUAAUGGCUCACCAAGGCGACGACGGGUAGCCGGCCUGAGAGGGUGACCGGCCACACUGGGACUGAGACACGGCCCAGACUCCUACGGGAGGCAGCAGUGGGGAAUAUUGCACAAUGGGCGCAAGCCUGAUGCAGCGACGCCGCGUGAGGGAUGACGGCCUUCGGGUUGUAAACCUCUUUCAGUAGGGAAGAAGCGAAAGUGACGGUACCUGCAGAAGAAGCACCGGCUAACUACGUG
RNAcentral lists this ribosomal RNA (466 nucleotides) under uncultured bacterium. Its description in RNAcentral is "partial 16S ribosomal RNA". It matches the Rfam family "Bacterial small subunit ribosomal RNA", at positions 28 to 507 of the family's 1533-position model. The record is from RNAcentral.